This 263-nucleotide long non-coding RNA is filed under the name Sus scrofa (pig). RNAcentral's name for it is "lncRNA (ENSSSCG00055000111.1)". The record is from RNAcentral. Lineage: Eukaryota; Metazoa; Chordata; Mammalia; Artiodactyla; Suidae.
AUGCGUGCCAGCGCCCAUGCAAAUCUGCUGUACAUCCAGAGAGCAAAGUGGGAUGAUCUGUCACUACACCUGCAGCACCACGUUCGGAGGACAGCUCCUGCUCGCAGCUUCUAGACCCAGGAAGCCUGAGGGGAAGAAAGGAAGUACGGGCGAAAUCAUCAGAUUGGCUUCCCAGAUUGGGGAAUCUGAAGCGGGCCCACAUCUUCCGGCCAACUUCCAUUGAACUUCCCAGUACUCGAAAGGGACGGAAAUGGAGAGCAAAG